RNAcentral lists this ribosomal RNA (274 nucleotides) under uncultured bacterium. Its description in RNAcentral is "partial 16S ribosomal RNA". It matches the Rfam family "Bacterial small subunit ribosomal RNA", at positions 523 to 796 of the family's 1533-position model. The record is from RNAcentral.
CUACGGAGGGUCCAAGUGUUAUCCGGAUUCAUUGGGUUUAAAGGGUCCGCAGGCGGGAAAAUAAGUCAGUGGUGAAAGCCUACAGCUCAACUGUAGAACUGCCAUUGAAACUGUUUUUCUUGAGUAUAGAUGAAGUGGGCAGAAUACAUCAUGUAGCGGUGAAAUGCAUAGAUAUGAUAUAGAACACCGAUUGCGAAGGCAGCUCACUAAACUAUUACUGACGCUCAGGGACGAAAGCGUGGGGAGCGAACAGGAUUAGAAACCCGAGUAGUCC